AAUGAACGUUGGCGGCGUGGAUUAGGCAUGCAAGUCGAGCGACGUCUGUCUUGUAGCAAUAUGAGGCUAAGUCGAGCGGCGUAAGGGGCAGUAAUACCUGGGAACGUACCCUGAGGUCGGGGAUAGCUGCUAGAAAUGGCGAGUAAUACCCGAUGAUCACGAGAGUGCAAAGGCUUGCCGCCUUCGGAGCGGCCCAGGCGAUAUUAGCUAGUUGGUGGGGUAACGGCCUACCAAGGCAUAGAUGUCUAGCGGGUGUGAGAGCACGACCCGCGCCACUGGCACUGAGACACUGGCCAGACACCUACGGGUGGCUGCAGUCGAGAAUCUUCGGCAAUGAGCGCAAGCUUGACCGAGCGACGCCGCGUGCGGGAUGAAGGCCUUCGGGUUGUAAACCGCUUUGGUCCGAAAGAAAGGGUAAAACUUGAUCGAUCGGAGAAACAAGGACGGGCUAAGUUCGUGCCAGCAGCCGCGGUAAGACGAACCGUCCAAACGUUAUUCGGAAUCACUGGGCUUAAAGGGCGCGUAGGCGGUUCAGCGGGUCACGGGUGAAAUCCUCCAGCUUAACUGGAGAACUGCCCUUGAUACCACUGCGGCUCGAGGAAGGAAGGGGCAAUCGGAACUGUCGGUGGAGCGGUGAAAUGCGUUGAUAUCGACAGGAACGCCGGUGGCGAAAGCGGAUUGCUGGUCCUUUUCUGACGCUGAGGCGCGAAAGCCAGGGGAGCAAACGGGAUUAGAUACCCCGGUAGUCCUGGCCUU
Molecule: ribosomal RNA, 756 nt
Filed under: uncultured Planctomycetota bacterium
Lineage: Bacteria; Pseudomonadati; Planctomycetota
Description: bacterial SSU rRNA
Rfam family: Bacterial small subunit ribosomal RNA
Source: RNAcentral